AUUUCUCAGCCUUUUGGCUAUGAUCAAGUGUAGUAUAUGUUCUUAUCAGUUUGGUAUCUGAUAUAGGGUCACUGACUCACAAGUGUCGCCUGUUCUUUCCACUACUCUAC
Molecule: small nuclear RNA, 110 nt
Filed under: Spinacia oleracea (spinach)
Lineage: Eukaryota; Viridiplantae; Streptophyta; Magnoliopsida; Caryophyllales; Amaranthaceae
Description: U2 spliceosomal RNA
Rfam family: U2 spliceosomal RNA
About the family: U2 is a small nuclear RNA (snRNA) component of the spliceosome (involved in pre-mRNA splicing). Complementary binding between U2 snRNA (in an area lying towards the 5' end but 3' to hairpin I) and the branchpoint sequence (BPS) of the intron results the bulging out of an unpaired adenosine, on the BPS, which initiates a nucleophilic attack at the intronic 5' splice site, thus starting the first of two transesterification reactions that mediate splicing.
Source: Rfam by way of RNAcentral